GCCAGACUCCUACGGGAGGCAGCAGUGGGGGAUAUUGCACAAUGGGGGGAACCCUGAUGCAGCGACGCCGCGUGGGCGAUGGAGUACUUCGGUAUGUAAAGCUCUAUCAGCAGGGAAGAAAAUGACGGUACCUGAUUAAGAAGCCCCGGCUAACUACGUGCCAGCAGCCGCGGUAAUACGUAGGGGGCAAGUGUUAUCCGGAUUUACUGGGUGUAAAGGGAGCGUAGACGGCAGCACAAGUCUGGAGUGAAAUGCCGGGGCUUAACCCCGGAACUGCUUUGGAAACUGUGCAGCUAGAGUGCAGGAGAGGUAAGUGGAAUUCCUAGUGUAGCGGUGAAAUGCGUAGAUAUUAGGAGGAACACCAGUGGCGAAGGCGGCUUACUGGACUGUAACUGACGUUGAGGCUCGAAAGCGUGGGGAGCAAACAGGAUUAGAUACCCCGGUAA
RNAcentral lists this ribosomal RNA (446 nucleotides) under uncultured bacterium. RNAcentral's name for it is "bacterial SSU rRNA". It matches the Rfam family "Bacterial small subunit ribosomal RNA", at positions 330 to 793 of the family's 1533-position model. The record is from RNAcentral.